UUCGCUGCGCUGAACUGCACCCUUGUUUAUGAAGAGUUGUCGUUCCUUGCUCUCACAUACAAUGAAAUGUAACCGUCGUGCAAGAGAUUGAUGGAGUGCCAGAGCCGCCAUAGCAAACGAGAGCGCCGAUGGCGCUGAAAGCAUAGUUGCAAGAUACAGGGAAGAUGCUGCUGAAGUAAAUGUUUAGGUCAAAAUAUACUAAAUAGUUUCCUUAUAUGUUUCGAUGUAAAAGCGACAACUUUGAGCGAAAAUAAAUACAACAUUUUGCACAUAGAGACCCCCAUAACCAUACCUUUUCUUGACGGGCAUUCUUAGCUGAAUCGAUUUAAGCAAUAAAAAAGAUUUGUCAUGUUCAAACCAAAAACAAAUUCGACUCAAAUCAAAAUCGACUGUUUUUGCGCCUUUUUCGGCCGUUUUCUAGUGGAUUGUAACCUUUUGCAGUGCCAUUUUUUACUUUAAUCUCCAACUUUAUCCUAUUUCAGGGAUUAAGUAGUGAACACCUAUGCUUACCCUAUCAAUAUCUCCAAACGAUAAAACCAGAACAAAGUGUACAACAUGCCUUCGAGGAAAAUAUGAUGAUUUGUUUAGAAAGUACAGCCCUUCAUGACUCGAUUAUUUAGUAUAUUGUAGCCUUAACGAUUGCUGACAUCACGAGUCGCCCCCCUUGUUAACAAAAUGCUCUAUUUUUAGAAACGGGAAUUCCAAAUAGUGACGAAUGUGAAUGGUUACAAAAUGACAUAACUAUGAAAAUAAAUACGUAGAAUUACAUUAUUUCAGGCAUACCAUUAUGCAACCAUCCGUUUUCUUUUCCGACUUGAUGCAUUUACAGCUUUCCAUUUAAUAGUUUACAGACACAGCACUCGUCCAGAAUUCACGCGAAUCCAAUAAAUCCGAUGCCACAUUUAAACCGUUAACUCUACUCGUAACGUAAAUUUCUGGCUCAAAGUAAAUCAUUUUAACUUCAAUUAACACAUCUCUUACUUUUAAACUCUACUUCAUCAAAUCCAUAGAAAGGCACGUCAGAAUCCAUGUCAUAAAUCAGAAAACAUUCAUCGUACUCCGCCAUUUUUUACACAUUUUCAAAGAAUAAAAGUGCUUUAUGCCCCACUUCCUGCUGAGAAUAUGUUUUAAUUUCUAUUUAUAAUUAACCGAUGAAAUGUUACAUAUACUUUAACCAGGGCCUUAUUAAUUCAGUUAUGUAAACAUUUGACCUCUCACAGAACAGUAAACGAAGGAAAUAGAAAUUGGGAUCCCAUAUAAAUUAGGUGUGAGGUCACUAUCAACAAGAACAGAAUUGUUUUACGAACGAAAUUUGUUUUAGGUUAUAAGAAGAUUUUUUGACAUAAAACCGUCUUAGAAAAAUUCACUAAAAACGGUGUCAGCAAUAUUCUUGGAAGAAAACGUUAGAAAAACGUUUCCCCCCAAAAAAUUGUAAGAAUUACCAUAUGCUAAAUUAAAUAGAUAUUUCGUCUGAUUUUUGAUCAGGUAAGGCUUCAUAAAGGGUAACCGACCGAUGUGGAUUUUCAAAAUGUGGUAUAUACCUUAAGCAUAGGUGCAAGCACCUAUGCUAAAAAUCCGUUUAUAUGGACUUUAAAUUUCACAUGCCUCCCAGGAAGGCAUAGAUGCAUGGUAACGAAAUUAAAAUAGGACAUUUUAACGAAUGGUUUAUUCAAGAAAGGGCAAACAAACGCAAAACCCAAAUUUGAAGAAAUAAAUUCAUUCGAUGAUUCUGAUGAAGGGAACGAUGCAGGUCAAGGUGAGCUAAAUAGCGAUGAUGAGGCCCCGGAUGAUGUUGGUUUCCAUGACAGCAAGAUGUCGGUCUUGGCGGAGCUGCGGUCUGCCAUGAGGCAGGUGGAUAGGGGGAAGUCUGUGAAGAAAGAACAGCGGAGGAAACUGGACGCACAGUUCAAGGCAAAAAGGCAAAAAAACUGGAAGAACUUUCAAGUAAGAAAUUGCCAGAUGAUUUCAUGGCAACUUUGGAUGAGGCAGUUAUAUCAAAACCCAAAGUAAAAAAAGGAGAAAAAAGGAAAAAUAAUAAACAGCAAAAACAAGACAGAAAGGAACCCGAUGUUGCUGCACCAAGUCCAGUGAAGAACUCUAGAGUCACUUUCACAGAGGACUUCAUCUCUCUGACUGACCGCGUCAGUGGUGUAGAAGUGGCAGAACUCAAGAAGCCUGAAACAGACAGUCGCACACUGAGUCAGGCUGCUGCAGCAUUCCGUCAGAGCAGACUGUAUGGUUCUCACAUACCCAGAGAGUCAAAUAAGGAUAGACUUGGGAAAGCAGAGAAGAGAAAGUUCAAUAGAAAAUGAAGAUACUGCAGAGCUACCAAACUUGGGCCUUGUGGUGAUGGAGUUUGAGUCGAGUUCUGGGAAAACUGGGCUUAAUGCAUGUGCAUAAAGUCAGGGCUAUAGAUGACUUUGGGGGGAUCUUGGGUAAUUCACACCCUGUUUUUGACAACAAUAGAGUUUUUGUAAAUUCAAUAGUUUUAGCAAAAAUGUUCACCCCCUACUUUUGAGCUUAAUUGGGUUUUUCAACCCCGUUUUUUUUAAACUCAAUUGGAUAAUUUAGGGAAUGACAUAUUUGAUAUAAUAAAAAUCUACAAAGGUUACUAUAUUAUUUAUACAAAUGGAAUUCAAAAAGGUAUGUGUACACAACAACAAACAAUUACUGAAUUUCUUAUCAAAGUUCAUUUAUUUUUGCAUUGAAUAAGACCAAGUUGUUGAAAAUCGCUGCACAAUUGAUGAAGUUAUGGCUGUUCAAAGCGAUGCACCCCGUUUUCGGGUCAUUUUGAGUUGAAUAACUUGAAAAUAAAAGUACAGAUCGGACGGGUCAACAAAUAAUUACAAUAAUGCCCCAAAGACUGAUAACCGCUGGAAAGACUGCCUUCUUUUCUUCAUAGGACGGCAUAUAAACUAUCCGGUACACUUUUGUACGGAAAAUGACCAGUCUAAAAAAUACGUCCAGUGUUCGUAAGAAUUGCGUUUUGUGACGCAUGUUUUUUUACGGGAAUUACGUUAUUAAAUGUGUAUUUGUGUUUUUCUAUGCUUUAUUUUGAAUUUAAUAACGUUUUUUGUUAUUUUAAUUGCGUAAUAACGCAAAUACGCUUGUUAUAUAUAGCCCUGAUAAAGUGUACCAGAUUAGACUGUUCACAGGCUAAUCAGGGACGACACUUUCUGUAUAUUCUGGAUUUUAGUUUAGGAGACAUCCUUUCAACAAAACCAUCCAUGCAAGCUUGCUAAGCUGUGAAUACUGCAAAGUCUAAUGUACGAUGACACUUUACUCACAUGCAUUUAGCCCCGUUUUCCCAGAGCAAGGCUUGUUUGGACAGCAGACAACUGCAAGGGUUCCAGAAACAUGUGCUCCAACUAGUUCCCAGAAUAUCCCUCAGUGCAAGAACUGUUGAAGUUAUGAGAUAGAAGUUGGAAAGUACUUGAGCAGUUGUUUAUUAUUUGAAGGUUGAAGUUAUGAGUUAGAAGUUGCAAAGUACUUGAGCAGUUGUUUAUUAUUUGAAGCAGCAAACUGUUGGAACUCAUCUGAAAUUUUGAUAAUUAAAGAUAAUGGCCAAUAUUAGUUGAACAAUUAACAAAUAUAUGCUAAGAUUAUGGUGAAUAUGUAUAAACAUACAUUUUGAAUGUAUAAUUGUACUUACAUUUACAAUUAAUAACUAUACUGGUAUGUCACUCAUCAAAAUAAGCAGUAAGACUAGGCUUGCCCAUUUUCUGAUAUUAUUAUGUACUUUGAACCUACAAAAUGUUAGACGUUGAUAUGAACCGAAGAUUCUGGGCAAACCUGAUGCCAAGUAUACACAUGCAUUGCUUGCAGACUCAUGCAGUGCUUAUUUUGAUCACUGAUUAAAUUGUAUACCUUCUCAAGAAUUUUGUUAAAAAAUUGUGCAACACUUUUUUAACAGUUUGUAAAAGAAAGUGACAGUAUAUCAAGUUAUAACUAUGUAGAGUUUAUAACAUAACAUAACAUAAAUUUAUUCUGGCAUAAAAUAGCACAAUGCAUACUUAUAGCCAACAAUACAAUUAUAGCGUGAAAAGUGAUAGGAACAUGAAAUAUUAUAAACAUUAAUCUGAGAAAGAUUAACAGAGAUGUAAGUGCCGUGCAAAUAGAAUGUGCAUGGUAAAUAUUAUAUUUAUUCACAACAAUAACAACAACAUUUAUUUGAUAGUAGGUCACUUUGAACUUCAAGUAGAGUUUAUGCGUUAUUAAGUACUGUGGAAUAAUGAGAUGAAAGUGUAUGAAAUGUGCUUUACAUGAAUUACAUUUCUUUAAUUCAUAGGAAGUAUAAUUCGUCUGUAAAAAAUUGAUAAUAUAAUGAAUAACCUCAAAAAUAUAUGUUCAAAAAUAAUAUUUAUUGUAAGUUUAUUGAAAUUGUGUGUGUAUUUUCUGUUUCUGUAAUGGGAGAACAUAAUCAAUGGAUAUUCUUGUUAAGAUUUAUUAAAAUUUCCUUUAAAUCUAUUUAGUAGAAUACAUGAAUAUUUGAAUUAAGGUUUUUACGUGAUUUUACUCCUUUGAAUAACUUCAAAUUUUUGUUAAUUUAAAUUUGUAUUGUUUUCAUUUUUUUGCAAAUCAGUAGAAAGUUUAUGAUUCUUAUUUUCAAUAAGUAUAAUUGAUAGCCUAUGUAAAGUAUUUAUGGUGUAUUUAAUAUCAUUUUUCAGAAAUUUAGCCAGAUAAAAUAUCUGUCUUUUGUUCUAAUUUGACUGUCAAUAAACACGUUGUUCACACUUUCUAAAUGUUUUAAAAUAAUAUAAUUAGAUAUGUCUUUAAUUUUGCCUUGAUGGUUUUAAUUAAAGUGUGUUUGGUACUUUGAAGUAACAAACUGUGGAGAAGGUAUGUUAAGUGGUGAUAAUAAAAGACACUUUACACUCGCUCUAUUGAUGUUGAGCUGAUUCUAAGUAUAAAUAUCGUAGAUUUAUCAAAUCAUAUUUAUAGUCUAUUGCAUGUUACUGCAUAGUGUGUGUAAACUGUUAAAUUUGUGCAAUAAGUAGGUUGUGUUCAUUGAUUUACACAUAGAUUACAAACCGGUGUUUGGAUAAUUGGAAUUACCACAGAAAUGGUAAGGUAUUUUUCCAGUACUUGCUAUUUUUUUAUCCUAUAUGUUAGUGUUUGUUGGUGAAUUUGGGAGCAAAUGUCUGGAAAGCGACACAAUUUGCAAAUAUUUAAUUAUAGAUGUUUCAUUGUCCGUAGGUGAUUUGGAGAUUUCUUCUCACCCGCACCCCUUAAAGGAGGUUAUUCUUACUCCCCCUUGCCCAUGUUUUGUGAUUUUAUUUUGUUACUCACUUUAUAGCUGCUAUUGAAACAUUUCUCGACAAGUGACCGUUUAAACCCAGAUAAAGUGGUGUUCUGCCAACCAAACAUCGAUUAACUUAUAGUUUAUUAAUAGAUCUUUGCGGUGUGCGGUAAAAAUGCCAGAAGUAAAAAUGCCAGAGGUAAAAAUACCAGAUGUAAAAAUGCCAGAGGUAAAAAUGCCAGAUGUAAAGUGGUAAAAAUGCCAUAGGUAAAAAUGCCAGAUGUUAAAAAAGUAAAAUAGAGUUUUGAGCAAUAUUCAUAAGGAUAUUGAGUAUUGUAGGGGUUAACUCAAAACUCUGUUUUACUAUAUUAUAUAACAUCUGGCAUUUUUACCACUUUGCAUCUGGCAUUUUUACCUACAUUCAUCUUUGCUCAAGUGCAUUUAGUCUAGUUAGUUGGUGUAGUGUAGAUCACUUCUUAUUGUCAUUUUGUUCCCAACAGGAUUAGCCACAUAUUGACAAUCAUAGUCAUACCCCUUAAAGUUUUGGUUGAAAAAGUUGGAUAUUAGAAUGUGACAAAUAUGGUUGCUAAACUCGCGUUUCAUUGUAUAACCACGAAUUAAAACGAAAGAAUAUUAACGAAUUAGACUCAUAUUCAAAUAAAACAUUUGAAUCGAAUAAUCGUGUUUUUGCAAAUAAAGUACAAAGUCGCAU
Molecule: RNA transcript, 5951 nt
Organism: Dreissena polymorpha
Lineage: Eukaryota; Metazoa; Mollusca; Bivalvia; Myida; Dreissenidae
Exons: 6
Source: RefSeq, a predicted model, not a curated record